This 530-nucleotide ribosomal RNA is filed under the name uncultured bacterium. RNAcentral's name for it is "bacterial SSU rRNA". It matches the Rfam family "Bacterial small subunit ribosomal RNA", at positions 771 to 1302 of the family's 1533-position model. The record is from RNAcentral.
AACCGGAUUAGAUACCCUGGUAGUCCACGCCCUAAACGAUGUCUACUAGUUGUCGGGUUUUAAUUAACUUGGUAACGCAGCUAACGCGUGAAGUAGACCGCCUGGGGAGUACGGUCGCAAGAUUAAAACUCAAAGGAAUUGACGGGGACCCGCACAAGCGGUGGAUGAUGUGGAUUAAUUCGAUGCAACGCGAAAAACCUUACCUACCCUUGACAUGUACGGAAGACCGAAGAGAUUUGGUUGUGCUCGAAAGAGAACCGUAACACAGGUGCUGCAUGGCUGUCGUCAGCUCGUGUCGUGAGAUGUUGGGUUAAGUCCCGCAGCGAGCGCAACCCUUGUCAUUAGUUGCUACAUUUAGUUGAGCACUCUAAUGAGACUGCCGGUGACAAACCGGAGGAAGGUGGGGAUGACGUCAAGUCCUCAUGGCCCUUAUGGGUAGGGCUUCACACGUCAUACAAUGGUACAUACAGAGGGCCGCCAACCCGCGAGGGGGAGCUAAUCCCAGAAAGUGUAUCGUAGUCCGGAUCGCA